UGUUGGAACCGGGUGAUCGCCGCCCGCGGAGCUUACGCCGGUUUUGGCCGGAGAGUGCGCCGCGGGGGGAGGAAAGUCCGAACUCCGCAGGGUAGUGUGCCGGAUAACGUCCGGGAGGGUGGCGUCAAAGUCACUCGACGGCCAGUGCCACAGAAAAUAUACCGCCUCCGGAUUCGUCCGGCGGUAAGGGUGAAAAGGUGCGGUAAGAGCGCACCGGGCGUUCAGUAAUGAACGCUGCAUGGUAAACCCCACACGGAGCAAGACCAAAUAGGGAUGAAGUUUGCGGGCGCAAUCCUGUAAUGCGUGCCGUCCCGGCGCGCCAAACAUCCGGGUAGGUCGCUUGAGCGUCGCGGUAACGCGCCGCCUAGACGAAUGAUCGCCACGGCAGCAAUGCCGUACAGAAUUCGGCUUACAGGUUCCAACGUUGC
Molecule: RNase P RNA, 428 nt
Filed under: Acidobacteriota bacterium
Lineage: Bacteria; Pseudomonadati; Acidobacteriota
Description: RNase P RNA component class A
Rfam family: Bacterial RNase P class A
About the family: Ribonuclease P (RNase P) is a ubiquitous endoribonuclease, found in archaea, bacteria and eukarya as well as chloroplasts and mitochondria. Its best characterised activity is the generation of mature 5'-ends of tRNAs by cleaving the 5'-leader elements of precursor-tRNAs. Cellular RNase Ps are ribonucleoproteins.
Source: RNAcentral